Molecule: ribosomal RNA, 460 nt
Filed under: uncultured bacterium
Lineage: Bacteria
Description: partial 16S ribosomal RNA
Rfam family: Bacterial small subunit ribosomal RNA
Source: RNAcentral
CCUACGGGAGGCAGCAGUGAGGAAUAUUGGUCAAUGGACGCAAGUCUGAACCAGCCAAGUCGCGUGCGGGAUGAAGGCCCUAUGGAUUGUAAACUUCUUUUAUACGGGAAUAAACUGCGGGACGUGUGCCGUUUUGUAGGUACCUCAUGAAUAAGGACCGGCUAAUUCCGUGCCAGCAGCCGCGGUAAUACGGAGGAUCCGAGCGUUAUCCGGAUUUAUUGGGUUUAAAGGGGGCGUAGGCGGCCCUUUAAGUGAGGUGUGAAAGGCCGUGGCUCAACCAUGGAACUGCCGCUGAAACUGGGGGGCUUGAGUGUGUUUGAGGCAGGCGGAAUGCGUGGUGUAGCGGUGAAAUGCUUAGAUAUCACGCAGAACCCCGAUUGCGAAGGCAGCCUACCAAGCCAUGACUGACGCUGAGGCACGAAGGCGUGGGGAUCAAACAGGAUUAGAUACCCUAGUAGUC